AUUGAACGCUGGCGGCAGGCUUAACACAUGCAAGUCGAGCGGUAGCACAGGGGAGCUUGCUCCCUGGGUGACGAGCGGCGGACGGGUGAGUAAUGUCUGGGAAACUGCCUGAUGGAGGGGGAUAACUACUGGAAACGGUAGCUAAUACCGCAUAACGUCGCAAGACCAAAGAGGGGGACCUUCGGGCCUCUUGCCAUCAGAUGUGCCCAGAUGGGAUUAGCUAGUAGGUGGGGUAAUGGCUCACCUAGGCGACGAUCCCUAGCUGGUCUGAGAGGAUGACCAGCCACACUGGAACUGAGACACGGUCCAGACUCCUACGGGAGGCAGCAGUGGGGAAUAUUGCACAAAGGGCGCAAGCCUGAUGCAGCCAUGCCGCGUGUGUGAAGAAGGCCUUCGGGUUGUAAAGCACUUUCAGCGAGGAGGAAGGUGGUGAGCUUAAUACGUUCAUCAAUUGACGUUACUCGCAGAAGAAGCACCGGCUAACUCCGUG
This 490-nucleotide ribosomal RNA is filed under the name uncultured bacterium. Its description in RNAcentral is "partial 16S ribosomal RNA". It matches the Rfam family "Bacterial small subunit ribosomal RNA", at positions 30 to 507 of the family's 1533-position model. The record is from RNAcentral.